Myodes glareolus (Bank vole) is the source of this 103-nucleotide small nuclear RNA. The record is from RefSeq and is a predicted model, not a curated record. Lineage: Eukaryota; Metazoa; Chordata; Mammalia; Rodentia; Cricetidae.
UUGCUUCAGUAGCACACAUACUAAAAUUGGAGCGAUACAGAGAAGAUUAACGUAGCCUCUGUGCAAAGAUGACAUGCAAAUUUGUGAACCGUUCCAUAUUUAA